AACCUGCCCAAGAGAUCGGGAUAACACCUGGAAACAGAUGCUAAUACCGGAUAACAACAGAUGAUGCCUAUCAACUGUUUAAAAGAUGGUUCUGCUAUCACUCUUGGAUGGACCUGCGGUGCAUUAGCUAGUUGGUAGGGUAACGGCCUACCAAGCGAUGAUGCAUAGCCGAGUUGAGAGACUGAUCGGCCACAUUGGGACUGAGACACGGCCCAAACUCCUACGGGAGGCAGCAGGG
This 238-nucleotide ribosomal RNA is filed under the name uncultured Lactobacillus sp. RNAcentral's name for it is "partial 16S ribosomal RNA". It matches the Rfam family "Bacterial small subunit ribosomal RNA", at positions 123 to 354 of the family's 1533-position model. Lineage: Bacteria; Bacillati; Bacillota; Bacilli; Lactobacillales; Lactobacillaceae. The record is from RNAcentral.